RNAcentral lists this ribosomal RNA (453 nucleotides) under uncultured bacterium. RNAcentral describes it as "bacterial SSU rRNA". It matches the Rfam family "Bacterial small subunit ribosomal RNA", at positions 87 to 533 of the family's 1533-position model. The record is from RNAcentral.
GCUGACGAGUGGCGGACGGGUGAGUAAUACGUAGGAAUCUGCCUUGUUGAGAGGGAUAGCCUAGGGAAACUUAGGGUAAUACCGCAUAAGCCCGAGAGGGGAAAGCCGGGGAGCCGCGAGGUCCUGGCGCGAUGAGAUGAGCCUACGUCGGAUUAGCUAGUUGGUGGGGUAAAGGCCUACCAAGGCGACGAUCCGUAGCUGGUCUGAGAGGACGACCAGCCACACUGGGACUGAGACACGGCCCAGACUCCUACGGGAGGCAGCAGUGGGGAAUAUUGGACAAUGGGCGGAAGCCUGAUCCAGCAAUGCCGCGUGUGUGAAGAAGGCCUGAGGGUUGUAAAGCACUUUCAGCGGGGAGGAAAGAGCUCGUUGCUAAUAUCAACGAAGGAUGAUGUUACCCGCAGAAGAAGCACCGGCUAACUCUGUGCCAGCAGCCGCGGUAAUACAGAGGGU